GAGAGUAUAGCUCAGUGGUAGAGCGUGUGCUUAACAUGCACGAGGUCCUGGGUUCGAUCCCUGGUAUCUCCA
This 72-nucleotide transfer RNA is filed under the name Camelus bactrianus (Bactrian camel). It matches the Rfam family "tRNA". Rfam says of the family: Transfer RNA (tRNA) molecules are approximately 80 nucleotides in length. Their secondary structure includes four short double-helical elements and three loops (D, anti-codon, and T loops). Lineage: Eukaryota; Metazoa; Chordata; Mammalia; Artiodactyla; Camelidae. The record is from Rfam by way of RNAcentral. RNAcentral also lists the same sequence under 2 other names.